GCGCGCUCCCGUCCGCACCGUGCGCGCACCCGUCCGCACCGUGCUCGUGCCCGUCAUCAGUAGACGGUUAUGCGGUGCAGAAAUCAAGGAGGAGAAACCGCGUCGCUGACUGAGCCGGAAAAUCGGAAGUGACUUUCAGCAGAGACCUAUCUCAUUCGUUUUUACUUUUUUACCUGGCUGUGUGAUCAGACAGAUGAGAAACCCUUCAUAUAAAAAGAUGGCAAGUGAAUCAAAUUGGUGUUAGUUCCAGUGGGUCAUCAAUUUUGUCUUGUGUGUCGCUGUGGACGAAGUCUCCAAGCUGCAAAAGUGUAGUCAGUUUGCACAAAAGUGUGAGAUUGCGUGCCUCAUCCAACAAUUUGUCCUGCUGAGGAGCUGCUCAGGACUGUUUGCCAGCUCCCUACUUGGGGCAGAGACAGCGCCCCCACUCUCCUGCCAAAAUGGUGCUGUCACAGAGGCAACGAGAUGAACUAAAUCGAGCAAUAGCAGAUUAUUUGCGCUCUAAUGGUUAUGAAGAAGCAUAUUCUGUAUUUAAGAAGGAGGCAGAGAUGGAUGUGAAUGAAGAGUUGGAUAAGAAGUAUGCAGGCCUUUUGGAAAAAAAAUGGACUUCAGUCAUCAGAUUACAGAAAAAGGUAAUGGAGUUGGAGUCCAAACUAAAUGAAGCUACAGCGGAGAUCACUUUAGGAGGCCCUGUGGGACAGAAACGAGACCCCAAAGAGUGGAUCCCACGCCCGCCUGAGAAGUACGCCCUCAGUGGCCACAGAAGCCCUGUCACACGCGUCAUCUUCCACCCUGUGUUCAGCCUCAUGGUCUCCGCCUCAGAGGAUGCCACUAUAAAGGUUUGGGACUACGAGGCUGGGGAUUUCGAGCGCACCCUGAAGGGUCACACUGACUCAGUGCAGGACAUCUCCUUUGAUCAGACUGGAAAGCUGCUGGCUUCUUGUUCUGCAGAUAUGACCAUCAAACUCUGGGACUUCCAGGGUUUUGAGUGCAUCAGGACCAUGCACGGACAUGACCACAAUGUGUCGUCAGUUGCCAUCAUGCCCAACGGUGAUCACAUAGUGUCUGCUUCCAGGGAUAAGACCAUUAAAAUGUGGGAGGUGGCCACUGGUUACUGUGUGAAGACGUUCACGGGUCACAGGGAGUGGGUGCGUAUGGUCCGGCCCAAUCAAGAUGGCACACUGUUGGCCAGCUGCUCUAAUGACCAGACGGUGCGCGUGUGGGUGGUGGCCAACAAAGAGUGCAAGGCGGAGCUGCGGGAGCACGAGCACGUGGUGGAGUGUAUUUCCUGGGCCCCUGAGAGCGCACACCCCACCAUAUCUGAGGCUACAGGCUCUGAGAACAAGAAAAGUGGAAAGCCUGGGCCAUUCCUGUUAUCUGGAUCCAGAGACAAGACCAUUAAAAUGUGGGACAUAAGUACUGGCAUGUGCCUUAUGACACUGGUCGGUCAUGAUAACUGGGUGCGUGGAGUGCUGUUCCAUCCUGGUGGGAGAUUCGUAGUGAGCUGCGCUGAUGACAAGACCCUUCGUAUCUGGGACUAUAAGAACAAGCGCUGCAUGAAGACCCUGAGUGCCCAUGAACACUUUGUUACCUCUCUGGAUUUCCACAAGACUUCUCCUUACGUGGUGACAGGAAGUGUAGAUCAAACGGUCAAAGUGUGGGAAUGUCGCUGAUCGCCAUAGGGUCCGCCCCUUCCCUCCCCCCCCCAAAUGCCACCACUUUGGCCACUCCCACACCUGCUCUUCAGGAUGCACUCAUUACUGUGGUUACCACCUCAUCCAGCUCUCUUCUAAUAACUAUUGUCCUUUUAUGUAAAUUACUCUGGAUGUAGUUUGAGCUUAUUAAAUGUUACACAACACACUCACAAGGAAAAAACAGAAAUAAGUAAAACGUAAAACAAGUAUUCUUGCAUGGUGAAUCCAAACCUUGUAUACUGUAAAUUUUUGCUUCUCCUCAUCUAAAGUACCGUAGGGAUGCAGAGCACAGGUGAUGCUCUUGCCUCAAGCGUUUAUGAACAGAAGGCAGAAUGAUGCUGUUUGGGGAAUUCAGGAUACAGGGCCCUCAAAAUCGUUCUGUUGGACCUUUACGUUUUCUUUCCCGACGAUUGUCACAUUCUGCUUUAAAGAAAAGAAAGACUUUUAAACAUUUAAACUGACUGAAGAUGAACAGCUUGACUUGUCUGUUCUGGGGGUCUGUAAUGUAAUUUAACCAUAUGAACGCCUGGAUGCUUAGUUCUCCCCUUUACAAGAAGAUUCUCAUUUGACAUGCGUCACUUUAAGAAGAGGUAACAACUUCAGUUCACAUUAUUGAACCAUUCUCAUCCACAGCUCAUCCACGAAGUCCUUUUCCAUUCUAAAAACAGGUUUGAGACCUUUUGAAGCCGUUUGGGCAAAUCUACAUGCGAUCCCCUUUGAAAAGAAGUGCAGAAAACACAAUAUGAGAAAAGGAUUGCUUUUAUAAGGACAUGAAUCGGUAAAGUGCACUUGUCCCUGGAAAAAUAGGGUUUACAUUUUGUUUCUCUCUCUCUCGCUCUUUUUUUUUUUUUUGUGUGUACAAAGCAUAUAAUUCUGACACCCUCCAUCGCCACACAGUCUGAUUUAGUACCUCUGCCCACAUUCUGCCUCACUAUUCUCGAAAAUGACUUAAUUCGGUCAUAGGUCUCAUUAACCCCUUCUUGCAAAACACCCUUCGUCAUUGAUAUAGCGCUUUCAUUGCUUUGUCAUUCUGCUGCUUGCUUGCACCAUCUGCUGCCUGUCCGCGCGUUUGUGAAGACUUCACGAGACAUAGCCCAUACAGGCUUUUUGACGUACUCUGUGGUACUGCUCAGUGACCUUGAGCUAUCUAGUCAGUCUCUUGAUUCAGGGAGGUUUUUGGCAUUGCAGAGGAAGGCACUGUCCUGGACCUUGUGGAGUUUGAGGACGACACCUCCACCGUAGAUCGACGUGCAAUAUCUAUAGGCUGCUCUGUGUGUUAACUAUUAAGGUGUGCAUGUGUUUUCUAUGAACACAUUUAUAGGAAGAUGGCCUCCUGAUCAGAUUAAUGGGGCAGACAGACGGAGCGAGUUUGAAAAUUUCUCCACUGGCUGCAGUACAAGGCAACAGUUAGUAACUUAUAAGACUACAUCAGUGGCGAGUAGUUUGCUGUGCUUGCUGGUCCGCAGCGUACUGUUUCCAACAGUAGAGUCAUGUAUGCCCAACCACUGCCAUCCCAAAGCUGUAUAUGUAGAAGCUUUGGAUGUGUGUGUGUGUGUGGACGUCACUUCCUGUCUGUGAGCACACAGCGGACUCUGACUCCAGCUAUUCGCUUUCUCUGCCUUGUUACUGUACUGAGAAUCCCCAAUAUCGAGGACUUCAUUCUGCUUUUUGUGGUCUCACUGUUGACACAUACUCGUGCACUUACAUAAAUAACUGUCCAUCGGUAUAUCUUGAUGUCAUUGUUUGCAAUAUAA
This is an RNA transcript of Sinocyclocheilus grahami, 3445 nucleotides long. It is a transcript of the gene named lissencephaly-1 homolog B-like, with no coding region annotated. NCBI's taxonomy places the organism in Eukaryota, Metazoa, Chordata, Actinopteri, Cypriniformes, Cyprinidae. The transcript is spliced from 12 exons. The record is from RefSeq and is a predicted model, not a curated record.